RNAcentral lists this long non-coding RNA (1418 nucleotides) under Canis lupus familiaris (dog). Its description in RNAcentral is "lncRNA (ENSCAFG00845027767.1)". Lineage: Eukaryota; Metazoa; Chordata; Mammalia; Carnivora; Canidae. The record is from RNAcentral.
AACAAUGUGGGCAUAUUAUAUAUAUAUUUUUAGAAUGAACUUAAAAAAUAAUAAACUCUAACUCCACUUUUGGCACUAAUUUCUUGAUUGCUAACAUGAUGCAUUUCUGCAAGAAGAGCUCAUUUCACAAUCUUUGAGGACAUUAUGUGUCUAAGACAAACCUGCAGGUGCUGUUGAGAACAGCAGAGCCAGCUGGAGGCUCUGGGAGGAAUUCCAUCUGGAAGAAAACAUGGUGUGUCCAGAGGGCAGAGUGGUGUGGUGGAGUCGGUGCUGGAGAUGAUGUGUGUACAAGAGCAGGACUCUGGACGGAGGCAGGGAUCUGGGCCAGCACAACAUGGAGAGGCUGAAGCUUCCUGGAGUGACCAGCAGGCAGGAGUAAGGGCCAGGUCCCUGAAAUCUAUGGAAGGAGAUUUUACUGGUGUGUCCACCUCCUCCUGGCCAGGCCACAGCUUUCUCAGCAGGGAGAGGAAGACAACGAAUCAGAAUGGGAAGGGAGUUUGCAUUUCUCGAGGACCUCAGGGACACAUCCUCAGGGACACAUGCACAGACUAGUGCUGCUUCUCAAGUUGCUCUGGUUACCGCAAUGGGGUAUCGAUCAGGGACGGCGUGGAGCCGAGGGUUUCAGCCGAGCCUCCGGGAGGCCAGGCUUUGGUCUGAACUGGAAGAGCACAAAGGCCAGCGGUGUCCUGUGGUGCGCGGAGCGCGCGAGGGCCAAGAAUCCAGCGGAACAUCUCACACGUGGUGGGCAUUCAAUACCAUGUACCGAAGAAGGAAUGACUGAGGGACUUGGUACGUGGAUGAGUGUGUACAAGAGGGAGCCCAGCAUGGGAGUGGCUCAGAGGGUGGAUUCUGGAGUCUGACUCUUGGGGCAGCUUCUUCCUCCACGGUGUGCACACAAAUCACCUAGCAUCGUAUCAAAAGGCAGAUUCUGAUUCAGUGGGUCUUAGUGGGCCCCAAGACUCUGUGUUUCCAACAAAUUUCCACAAAACAUGGCUUCUGUUGGUUGAAGACUGGGCUUGGAGAGGUAAGGUGCCCAAGAUCAAAUCUUACCACGUCUACUGCCUGCUACAUAGACAACAUCAUGUGGAUUGUUUGACCUCUUUUGACCUUGGUUUCAUUAUCAAGUGAGAAUAACCAUGAUAGCACCUCCCUCAGAAGACCAUGGCAAGGAUUAAGAAUGAUGGUGAACGUUCCUGCACAUAGUAAGAGUUGAUCCAUAAUCAUAUGUUGAUACCUUCUCAUGGCUAUAAUAAACAAUAGUUAUUCCUGUUAUUGCUUACUUUUCUUUUUUUUUUUUAAUUUAAUUUAUUUAUUCAUGAGAGAUACAGAGAGAGGCAGAGACAUAGGCUGAAGGAGAAGCAGGCUUUCUGCUGGGAGCCUGAUGGAGGACUUGGUCCCAGGACCCCGGGAUCAUGGCC